GAUGAAGAACGCAGCGAAAUGCGAUACGUAAUGUGAAUUGCAGAAUUCAGUGAAUCAUCGAGUCUUUGAACGCACAUUGCGCCCCCUGGUAUUCCGGGGGGCAUGCCUGUCCGAGCGUCAUUGCUGCCUCAAGCACGGCUUGUGUGUUGGGCCUCCGUCCUCCUCCCGGGGGACGGGCCCGAAAGGCAGCGGCGGCACCGCGUCCGGUCCUCGAGCGUAUGGGGCUUCGUCACCCGCUCUUGUAGGCCCGGCCGGCGCUUGCCGACACAUCAAUCUUUUUUCCAGGUUGACCUCGGAUCAGGUAGGGAUACCCGCUGAACUUAAGCAUAUCAAUAGCGGAGGA
RNAcentral lists this unclassified non-coding RNA (343 nucleotides) under soil metagenome. RNAcentral describes it as "partial contains 5.8S ribosomal RNA, internal transcribed spacer 2, and large subunit ribosomal RNA". The stretch from base 1 to 120 matches the Rfam family "5.8S ribosomal RNA", at positions 35 to 154 of the family's 154-position model. The record is from RNAcentral.